UACAGAGGUCCCAAGCGUUGUUCGGAUUCAUUGGGCGUAAAGGGUGCGUAGGUGGCGUGGUUAGUCGGGUGUGAAAUCCCGGGGCUCAACCCCGGAACUGCACUCGAUACUGCCGUGCUGGAGUACUGGAGAGGAGACUGGAAUUUACGGUGUAGCAGUGAAAUGCGUAGAUAUCGUAAGGAAGACCGGUGGCGAAAGCUAGUCUCUGGACAGUCACUGACACUGAGGCACGAAGGCUAGGGGAGCAAACGGG
RNAcentral lists this ribosomal RNA (253 nucleotides) under uncultured bacterium. RNAcentral describes it as "partial 16S ribosomal RNA". It matches the Rfam family "Bacterial small subunit ribosomal RNA", at positions 524 to 776 of the family's 1533-position model. The record is from RNAcentral.